This 253-nucleotide ribosomal RNA is filed under the name uncultured bacterium. RNAcentral describes it as "partial 16S ribosomal RNA". It matches the Rfam family "Bacterial small subunit ribosomal RNA", at positions 524 to 776 of the family's 1533-position model. The record is from RNAcentral.
UACAGAGACUGCAAGCGUUAUUCGGAUUCACUGGGCGUAAAGGGUGCGUAGGCGGUCGCGCAAGUCGGAUGUGAAAUCUUAGGGCUCAACCCUGAAACUGCAUUCGAUACUGCGUGGCUCGAGUACUGGAGAGGAGACUGGAAUUUACGGUGUAGCAGUGAAAUGCGUAGAUAUCGUAAGGAAGACCAGUGGCGAAGGCGAGUCUCUGGACAGUUACUGACGCUGAGGCACGAAGGCCAGGGGAGCAAACGGG